RNAcentral lists this unclassified non-coding RNA (330 nucleotides) under uncultured Acremonium. Its description in RNAcentral is "sequence contains ITS1". The stretch from base 1 to 105 matches the Rfam family "5.8S ribosomal RNA", at positions 50 to 154 of the family's 154-position model. Lineage: Eukaryota; Fungi; Ascomycota. The record is from RNAcentral.
AAAAUGCGAUAAGUAAUGUGAAUUGCAGAAUUCAGUGAAUCAUCGAAUCUUUGAACGCACAUUGCGCCCGCCAGUAUUCUGGCGGGCAUGCCUGUCUGAGCGUCAUUUCAACCCUCGGGACCCCGUUCGCGGGACCCGGCGUUGGGGAUCAGCCCGAAGCCCCCCCCGGGGCGGGCGGCUGGCCCCGAAAGCUAGUGGCGGUCCCCCCAGCGACCUCCUCUGCGCAGUAGUAACUCACCUCGCAGCUGGACAGCGGGAGGGCCACGCCGUAAAACCCCCAACUUCUCAAAGGUUGACCUCAGAUCAGGUAGGAAUACCCGCUGAACUUAA